GACGAACGCUGGCGGCGUGCUUAACACAUGCAAGUCGAGCGGUAAGGCCCCUUCGGGGGUCCACGAGCGGCGAACGGGUGAGUAACACGUGAGCAAUCUGCCCAUCACAUCGCGAUAACUCCGGGAAACCGAAGCUAAUACCGAAUACGACCACCUCCGGCAUCGGAUGGUGGGGGAAAUUUCCGGCGGUGAUGGAUGAGCUCGCGGCCUAUCAGCUUGUUGGUGGGGUAGCGGCCCACCAAGGCUACGACGGGUAGCCGGCCUGAGAGGGUGACCGGCCACGCUGGGACUGAGACACGGCCCAGCCUCCUACGGGAGGCAGCAGUGGGGAAUAUUGGAUAAUGGGCGAAAGCCUGAUCCAGCAACGCCGCGUGAGGGAUGACGGCCUUCGGGUUGUAUUCCUCUUUCAGCAGGGACGAAGCGCAAGUGACGGUACCUGCAGAAGAAGCACCGGCCAACUACGUG
RNAcentral lists this ribosomal RNA (465 nucleotides) under uncultured bacterium. Its description in RNAcentral is "partial 16S ribosomal RNA". It matches the Rfam family "Bacterial small subunit ribosomal RNA", at positions 28 to 507 of the family's 1533-position model. The record is from RNAcentral.